GAUCAGAAGAGUCAAAGAAGAUCCACUGGUUGACCAGGAUUAAGACAUGUUAUCAGAGAUCAUGCACAGUGGCAUUUAAUGAUCACAUAUCAAGGUAGAGAACAGCCUGGUUGGAAAGGAUACCUACAAAUAUGCAGAAAAAAGGAAGCUGUCAUAGAGUCCAGAUGAGGUCACUGAAUCUCAGACCACAUUGCCAGUAAGUGGGAAAGCAGAGAUUCAAUCUCUCUCUUCCAAGAUGAGGAACGGGGGGAUCUCCACUACCCAGCAGCUGUCUACUAUGUGCAAAGGCCAGUUCUGGGUGUUGCAAAGGAUCUCACGAUGAGUACUGGAUUCUCAUAGAUCCACUUGCAGAGGUAAGGAAAGAGAUCUUGGGAAGGAAAUGGAACGGGUUCAGCAGGGUGUGGGUAGGUGGAGAAGAAAGUUAGGAACAUUCCUGGUUAAGAGGACCUGCCCUUGUGAAGGUAUCUUGCGCAAGAUCACUGUGUCUUAAGCUUAUCUCUUCUCAAGUACAGGGCAUCCUUUGAGAUGUGAUAAAGUUCCGUGGUUAGGAACUAGGGCUGUGAAGUCCCACAGGCCUGGGUUUAAAUCUUGGUUUCACCAAGUGGUAACUUCAUGGUCAGAGCAAGUUUCUUCAUCUCUUUUUGCUUCAUUUU
This is a long non-coding RNA of Leopardus geoffroyi (Geoffroy's cat), 653 nucleotides long. RefSeq lists it as uncharacterized. NCBI's taxonomy places the organism in Eukaryota, Metazoa, Chordata, Mammalia, Carnivora, Felidae. The record is from RefSeq and is a predicted model, not a curated record. The transcript is spliced from 3 exons.